AAAAAGACGGAAUAAAAAAGAUGUCAACCGACUUUCAUGGGCCUAAAAAUUGAGACUAGUAAGCCUGAUGUUGGGCCAUGUGUUUCCUCCAUCGACUACGUCCGAUUCUGCCAGCCCAAAGCUGGAGCUGCGACCGUGACGUCCUGCAAUUCAGAAUUCACAAAGCAGCUGCUUCUGCUUUGUUCACCUAGAAAUUAGAAAAGAUUUAGACAUUGGAAUUUGACUCAGCCAGUUUGAGGCGCAGACCAUCAUCUAUAUGCAGCGAGCAAAUUAGAGGAAUCCACGAACCGAUGCAAAAGUAUAUAAAGCUCUGUUGGCUAGUAAUCGGAUAAGGGCCAUACAUAUUGC
RNAcentral lists this long non-coding RNA (348 nucleotides) under Setaria viridis. Its description in RNAcentral is "long non-coding RNA (SVIR_LNC000131)". The record is from RNAcentral. Lineage: Eukaryota; Viridiplantae; Streptophyta; Magnoliopsida; Poales; Poaceae.